CGCCACCCCUCGCUGCUCCACCGCCCGCGCGCCUCCCCCUCGCCGCCGGCCGGGCGCUGCCCUCCACCGCCCGCCGCUCCGGCCCAAAAUCCCGCCGCCGGCACCUCUCUCCGGAAUCCCGCCGUCGUCUUCUCUCCGGAAUCUCGCCGCCGGUGGCUCUUUUCUCAACGUGCUGCUCCGCCGCCCCCUUCUCCUUCCCCUCAGACCGAGCGCCGCCCCUCCUCCGUCCCCUCAGACCGAGCGCUGCCCUCCUCUUUCCCCUCCGUCGCGCGCCGCCCUCCUCUUCCCUUUCUGCGAUGCAAGGGAAACCAAACAGGAGGCUGCAGCGAUUGCUCGCAUCCGCCGCGCCUGGAUCCCGCGUGCUGCAGCCCUGCUGCGAUGCAGCCUGCGACGUGCAGUAAAUCCAAACACGCCCUUUGUGACCCCGCGCAUGGAGCAGUUGCAGGCAGCCACGAGCGCCGGUGUUGGAAAUUUUGGGUGG
This 481-nucleotide long non-coding RNA is filed under the name Brachypodium distachyon (stiff brome). RNAcentral's name for it is "long non-coding RNA (BDIS_LNC005086)". Lineage: Eukaryota; Viridiplantae; Streptophyta; Magnoliopsida; Poales; Poaceae. The record is from RNAcentral.